UGGGCGAGAGCCUGAACCAGCCAAGUAGCGUGAAGGAUGACUCGCCCUAUGGGUUGUAAACUUCUUUUAUAAAGGAAUAAAGUCGGGUAUGCAUACCCGUUUGCAUGUACUUUAUGAAUAAGGAUCGGCUAACUCCGUGCC
This 141-nucleotide ribosomal RNA is filed under the name uncultured bacterium. RNAcentral describes it as "partial 16S ribosomal RNA". It matches the Rfam family "Bacterial small subunit ribosomal RNA", at positions 372 to 509 of the family's 1533-position model. The record is from RNAcentral.